AAAUUGAAGAGUUUGAUCAUGGCUCAGAUUGAACGCUGGCGGCAGGCCUAACACAUGCAAGUCGAGCGGUAGCACAGAGAGCUUGCUCUCGGGUGACGAGCGGCGGACGGGUGAGUAAUGUCUGGGAAACUGCCUGAUGGAGGGGGAUAACUACUGGAAACGGUAGCUAAUACCGCAUAAUGUCGCAAGACCAAAGUGGGGGACCUUCGGGCCUCAUGCCAUCAGAUGUGCCCAGAUGGGAUUAGCUAGUAGGUGGGGUAACGGCUCACCUAGGCGACGAUCCCUAGCUGGUCUGAGAGGAUGACCAGCCACACUGGAACUGAGACACGGUCCAGACUCCUACGGGAGGCAGCAGUGGGGAAUAUUGCACAAUGGGCGCAAGCCUGAUGCAGCCAUGCCGCGUGUGUGAAGAAGGCCUUCGGGUUGUAAAGCACUUUCAGCGGGGAGGAAGGCGUUAAGGUUAAUAACCUUGGCGAUUGACGUUACCCGCAGAAGAAGCACCGGCUAACUCCGUGCCAGCAGCCGCGGUAAUACGGAGGGUGCAAGCGUUAAUCGGAAUUACUGGGCGUAAAGCGCACGCAGGCGGUCUGUCAAGUCGGAUGUGAAAUCCCCGGGCUCAACCUGGGAACUGCAUUCGAAACUGGCAGGCUAGAGUCUUGUAGAGGGGGUAGAAUUCCAGGUGUAGCGGUGAAAUGCGUAGAGAUCUGGAGGAAUACCGGUGGCGAAGGCGGCCCCCUGGACAAAGACUGACGCUCAGGUGCGAAAGCGUGGGGAGCAAACAGGAUUAGAUACCCUGGUAGUCCACGCCGUAAACGAUGUCGAUUUGGAGGUUGUGCCCUUGAGGCGUGGCUUCCGGAGCUAACGCGUUAAAUCGACCGCCUGGGGAGUACGGCCGCAAGGUUAAAACUCAAAUGAAUUGACGGGGCCCGCACAAGCGGUGGAGCAUGUGGUUUAAUUCGAUGCAACGCGAAGAACCUUACCUGGUCUUGACAUCCACAGAACUUUCCAGAGAUGGAUUGGUGCCUUCGGGAACUGUGAGACAGGUGCUGCAUGGCUGUCGUCAGCUCGUGUUGUGAAAUGUUGGGUUAAGUCCCGCAACGAGCGCAACCCUUAUCCUUUGUUGCCAGCGGUUCGGCCGGGAACUCAAAGGAGACUGCCAGUGAUAAACUGGAGGAAGGUGGGGAUGACGUCAAGUCAUCAUGGCCCUUACGACCAGGGCUACACACGUGCUACAAUGGCAUAUACAAAGAGAAGCGACCUCGCGAGAGCAAGCGGACCUCAUAAAGUAUGUCGUAGUCCGGAUUGGAGUCUGCAACUCGACUCCAUGAAGUCGGAAUCGCUAGUAAUCGUAGAUCAGAAUGCUACGGUGAAUACGUUCCCGGGCCUUGUACACACCGCCCGUCACACCAUGGGAGUGGGUUGCAAAAGAAGUAGGUAGCUUAACCUUCGGGAGGGCGCUUACCACUUUGUGAUUCAUGACUGGGGUGAAGUCGUAACAAGGUAACCGUAGGGGAACCUGCGGUUGGAUCACCUCCUUACCUUAAAGAA
Molecule: ribosomal RNA, 1548 nt
Filed under: Klebsiella pneumoniae
Lineage: Bacteria; Pseudomonadati; Pseudomonadota; Gammaproteobacteria; Enterobacterales; Enterobacteriaceae
Description: bacterial SSU rRNA
Rfam family: Bacterial small subunit ribosomal RNA
Source: RNAcentral